UGAGGAAUAUUGGUCAAUGGACGGGAGUCUGAACCAGCCAAGUAGCGUGCAGGACGACGGCCCUAUGGGUUGUAAACUGCUUUUAUAGGGGGAUAAAGUGUGCCACGUGUGGCAUAUUGCAGGUACCCUAUGAAUAAGGACCGGCUAAUUCCAUGCCAGCAGCCGCGGUAAUACGGAAGGUCCGGGCGUUAUCCGGAUUUAUUGGGUUUAAAGGGAGCGUAGGCCGUCUUAUAAGCGUGUUGUGAAAUGUCGUGGCUCAACCUGGGCAUUGCAGCGCGAACUGUGAGACUGGAGUGCGCAGGAAGUAGGUGGAAUUCGUGGUGUAGCGGUGAAAUGCUUAGAUAUGACGAAGAACUCCGAUUGCGAAGGCAGCCUGCUGUAGCGCAACGGACGCUGAAGCUCGAAAGCGUGGUAUCGAACA
RNAcentral lists this ribosomal RNA (421 nucleotides) under uncultured prokaryote. RNAcentral describes it as "bacterial SSU rRNA". It matches the Rfam family "Bacterial small subunit ribosomal RNA", at positions 355 to 774 of the family's 1533-position model. The record is from RNAcentral.